RNAcentral lists this ribosomal RNA (644 nucleotides) under Perenniporia medulla-panis. RNAcentral describes it as "eukaryotic LSU rRNA". The stretch from base 225 to 378 matches the Rfam family "5.8S ribosomal RNA". Lineage: Eukaryota; Fungi; Basidiomycota; Agaricomycetes; Polyporales; Polyporaceae. The record is from RNAcentral.
GGGAACUGCGGAGGACAUUAUCGAGUUAUUGACGGGGUUGUAGCUGGCCUUUUGAGGCAUGUGCACGCCCUGUUCAUCCACUCUACACCUGUGCAUUUACUGUGGGUUUCAGAUGGGCGAAGUGGGCUUUUCCGAAGGCCUGUGGAGUCUCUUUGUGCCUGCGUUUAUAACAUAAACUCUAUUGUAUCAGAAUGUGUAUAUUGCGAUGUAACGCAUCUAUGUACAACUUUCAGCAACGGAUCUCUUGGCUCUCGCAUCGAUGAAGAACGCAGCGAAAUGCGAUAAGUAAUGUGAAUUGCAGAAUUCAGUGAAUCAUCGAAUCUUUGAACGCACCUUGCGCUCCUUGGUAUUCCGAGGAGCAUGCCUGUUUGAGUGUCAUGGAAUCUUCAACCUACAAACCUUUGCGGGUUUUUAUUGUAGGCUUGGACCUUGGAGACUUUGCCGGUCUGUGUUGAUGAGUCGGCUUCUCUUAAAUGCAUUAGCUUAUGUCCUUGCGGAUCGGCUCCCGGUGUGAUAACUGUCUACGCCGUGGCCGUGAAGCACUUGAUGAGCUUCUAACGGUCUUGAAUGAGACAUUAUUGACAUCUGACCUCAAAUCAGGUAGGACUACCCGCUGAACUUAAGCAUAUCAAUAAGCGGAGGAA